RNAcentral lists this ribosomal RNA (320 nucleotides) under uncultured eukaryote. Its description in RNAcentral is "partial 18S ribosomal RNA". It matches the Rfam family "Eukaryotic small subunit ribosomal RNA", at positions 1470 to 1796 of the family's 1831-position model. The record is from RNAcentral.
CCCUUAGAUGUUCUGGGCCGCACGCGCGCUACACUGACGAAUGCAACGAGCUUAUAACCUUGGCCGAAAGGUCUGGGUAAUCUCCAAAUUUCGUCGUGAUGGGGAUAGAUUAUUGCAAUUAUUAAUCUUCAACGAGGAAUGCCUAGUAAGCGCAAGUCAUCAGCUUGCGUUGAUUACGUCCCUGCCCUUUGUACACACCGCCCGUCGCUCCUACCGAUUGAAUGGUCCGGUGAAAUCUCGGGACGGCGGCUCGGUCGCUUGCGUCCGACUGCUGAAACUUGAUUAAACCAUAUCAUUUAGAGGAAGGUGAAGUCGUANCA